RNAcentral lists this transfer RNA (87 nucleotides) under Phyllosiphon coccidium. Its description in RNAcentral is "tRNA-Ser". It matches the Rfam family "tRNA". From Rfam's summary of the family: Transfer RNA (tRNA) molecules are approximately 80 nucleotides in length. Their secondary structure includes four short double-helical elements and three loops (D, anti-codon, and T loops). Further hydrogen bonds mediate the characteristic L-shaped molecular structure. tRNAs have two regions of fundamental functional importance: the anti-codon, which is responsible for specific mRNA codon recognition, and the 3' end, to which the tRNAs corresponding amino acid is attached (by aminoacyl-tRNA synthetases). tRNAs cope with the degeneracy of the genetic code in two manners: having more than one tRNA (with a specific anti-codon) for a particular amino acid; and 'wobble' base-pairing, i.e. permitting non-standard base-pairing at the 3rd anti-codon position. The record is from RNAcentral. RNAcentral also lists the same sequence under 1 other name. Lineage: Eukaryota; Viridiplantae; Chlorophyta; Trebouxiophyceae; Watanabeales; Watanabeaceae.
GGAAGGGUGGCAGAGCGGUUGAAUGCAUCGGUUUUGAAAACCGACGUAGCUUUACGGCUACCGAGGGUUCGAAUCCCUCCUCUUCCG